RNAcentral lists this unclassified non-coding RNA (10978 nucleotides) under Haliotis rufescens (red abalone). RNAcentral describes it as "piezo-type mechanosensitive ion channel component 1- like, transcript variant X9". The record is from RNAcentral. Lineage: Eukaryota; Metazoa; Mollusca; Gastropoda; Lepetellida; Haliotidae.
UGGUUGAGUAACAAAGAGGGCGCCACUGCGAAAGCAGAUGACAUUUUGCUUGGAUGUCAAGAGAAAGUUGUAAAGGAAAUUAGGCGACAGUGGUCUAUGUUAUACUUUGACAGAUACUUCGAAAGAAAUCGUCUUACGGUUUUGGAGAGACCAAGCGGAGUGUUACAGUCGAUGGGAAGAUCACUGUCAUAUCUUAAAAGUUGACGUGUUUAUUUCUCUCGGUUGCAUUUCCUCGUUUGGGCCACUGCGACAGCAGCUGUGCAGAUCAUGUGAGCGCUCUGGACGUCGGCGCGUGGUUGGAUCGAUUUUCAUUCAAAGGAAUAUCCCUUCUACCGUUGAGAUGUUGCGCCUCUUCAAGAGAAUAUAGUAGCAUCUCCGGUUGUGUGUGCAUUGUUUGAGGAAUCUUUGGCGCAGAGGAAAGCUUAGAGCCAUGUGACCGUUUUGGCGGUGCCAAGAUUUUGGAAUUCUUUUGUGAUUGUGGAUUGUUUGUAUAUUGUUGGAGUUGUGUUGAUGAAAUUUGAGAAAGGGGCUACGGACCAACUCGCACAAUGAAUUCAAAGGUCACAAAGACAGUUUGUUACUCCUUGUUUAGGAUUCUGUUACCAUUAACCCUUUUAGGAGCUGCGGUGCUGCGUUACAACGCCCUGUCGUUCCUGUACGCUGUGUUCCUGCUGAUCACACCUCUACUCAGCUAUCCCAGUGUCAGCUCUAUCAAAGGUGCUACAGGAAAUUACCUGAAAGUUCUCAUCGCUCUUGGAGUGAUUGCCGUUCUUACACAAUGUAUCUUCCAUAUUGUGUUGGUCGCCAUAGCAACAGAUGCCGAGCCGUAUGGUUCCAUGUUUCCAAACUGCUCUAUGAAUGAGAAGCUUGCCCGACUCAUAGCAGUUGAAAGAUUGGAUAACACGCCUGUUGUUGAUGUUGUUCGGCUGGUGGUACCAGACGUUGCGGUGUUCAUCGUAGCACUCCUAGUCUUCAUCAUCUGCCAUGUUGUUCUCAAGAAAGAGGCAGCACAGCAACAGGACCUUCCCACAACUCAAGUGAUUAGGACUCGCAGACCCAGAGUGAACUUCGUCAUCGCCUUCUUCGGAGAGUUCUUGCUGAGUUUGUUAAUCGGUGCUAGCGGGAUUAUCCUGCCGUCUGUGUUGAAUGCAGUCUACUUCUUGACCUUCCUGGUUGUGGGCACGGUGUGGGCGUGUUACCGCAAGCUGGGACGCAAGUUUGCGGGAUUCCGUGUCUUCCUCCUUGUGUACACUGGACUCCACAUCCUUCUCCUUCAUCUCUACCAGUUCGAGUUCUUUCAGGACUUUUUACCUCCCGAUGACCUCAUUGCAAGACUUCUUGGCCUGACUGGUAUAAUCUACACCGACUGCUCUACUGCAUGGAUGAUCCAAUUCUACGACAACGUCAAGUGGCCGUACUAUGUCAACCCGGGAAUCCUCCUGCUUUUGUACUGGGUUCUCGCCUUCGAGACACGACACUACUUCCAUGGAACGGACGUUAAACACAUUGAGAGUACAUUGUCCCCUAGCCGUGGGAAGAAAGGACGUGGCAAGAGACGAACUGGCACCGAGCGGGAGGUAGCUGGCGAACAGGAUGAGACUGGCAGUGUUAUGUUUUCGGGGUCGGCUUAUGGUGAACCAGACGACCUUGAUGAAAAGCUUCUAGUUGACGAUGCAGAAAAUACUGGCUACAGCACUAUCGAACCCAUCAAUGCUGAUGGAACACCCAAGGCAUCCACGUCCCGAGAGGACGAGGAGACGGAUGAAGAGACCGUGGCAGAUCCUCCGAGGAAGGAGAAGGAGCAGAAGAGGACGGCCAUGGUGUCCAUGUUUGUCUACAUCAUGAAGCAGAGCUACGUCCUUACUCUCAUUGCCAUGAUGGCCUGGAGCAUCACCUUCCACAGUUGGCUGACGUUCGUACUCCUCCUGCUUGCAUGCAUCCUGUGGAUGAUCCCCAAGUCCCGCCGUGCCUGCCUCGUCAUGUCACCAGUCAUUGUGUUCUACGCUGAGGCCCUCCUCAUCAUCCAGUUCAUCUACGGCAUGAACCUGCCUAAUGAGCUGCCUACAGAUGCAGGCCCCGUCACGUACAGCGAGAUCGGUCUCAAGAGAUACGAGAUCCCAUGCUUGUAUCUGGCCGCACAGGUGCUCUUCACAUUGUUCUUCUGGCUGACUCUGCGACAGUUCAUGAGGGAGAGACAGACAACUCCGGAACAGAACCAAGGGCUGCCUCUAGAACCGGUCGAUGGAUCAGCAACCAAGAAGAAGUCCUUCACAGACUUCCUGAAUCUUCCUCUAGAGACGGACAUGGUCGAUGGAUAUGAUAGCAAUUCCACCAAGAUGAUAGGUAACUACCUGAAGGUCCUACUGUGCAAGUACUGGGUCUUCGCGUGCGCUACCAUCAUGUUGGUCAUCGCCAUCCAGGACGUGGUCGUCUACCGCAUCAUCUAUAUGUUCCUGUUCCUGCUCUUUGUCAUCGCCUUCCAGCUGUCGUUCACGGUGUGGCGAGGGGUGAUGUACAUUUUCUGGUGGGUGGUGACAGUCUACUCCAUGGGUGUCCUCAUCAUCAUCUACACCUACCAGUUCAAGCAGUUCCCUGGCUACUGGAGUAACAGCACUGGACUGUCCGAUCAGACGUUGAAGGACAUUGGUUUGGAGCUGUAUGACACGGCUGGUCUGUUCAUCAAACUGCUGACACCAACCAGCUUUCUGAUCGUCGUCAUCCUCCAGGUUCAUUACUUCCACAGUCCCUUCCUCAGGAUGUCCGCCCUGGACAGAUACAAGCAUGAGGACCAGACAGACUCGACGCCAGCAGACUACACGACCGAUGAGGCAGGUGGCACCACAGACACGGAGUCCGAAAUCAGCAGGAAGUCCAGACGUUGGCGCCGACGGUUAACACUACUGUUCUUCAGGCUGUGGAAUAAGGCCAGCAGUUUGUGGGGCUCUGUCUCGACUUUCCUCUGGAGGCUCACAGAGAUACACAUCUUUAAGCUCGUCGUUUUUGUCAUAGUGGUCGUUGCUGUCAAUGAGGUGUCUGCAAUCACUGCGGUGUACAUCAUCCUGAUGGCAGCCAUCUUGCCCAUCUCUCGGAUCCACAUCGUGCUGUCGCAUGUCACCAUGAUCUGGACCGCUCUGGUCAUCCUGGCUAAGAUGAUGUACCAGUUACAUAUUGUCAAGACGGAGUUUUGGAUCACGAGCUGCACUUUGGAUGGAAAUGGCACUUUUAUCCCAGAUAACGGCGUAGACUUUGGCAACCAAAGCAUCGUCGUCAACAUCACUGGGAACGUCACUGAUGUGGACAAUGCUAUAUGGGUGGGGUUGGCCAAGAUUAGCAGCCUGAAUGUGUCCAUCGCCUACUACAUCAGGAACUACUUGCUGAUCCUGAUCGUGGUUGCGUUCGAGAGCAUCACCCGCUACCACCAGAUCCAGCACUACAAUAAGCCCAACGUGGACCGCCCGGGAGCUGGUAUCAUCUUCCAGGACGUCAAGCGACCAGAGGCGGACAAGAGCAUCUCCUCCGCUCUCAAAUACUUCGCCAAUUACCUCUUCUACAAGUUCGGGUUGGAAAUCUGUUACAUCAUGUCCGCCAUCACCAUCUGCAUCCGUGUAGAUGCCUAUGCCGUCAUCUAUGCCAUCAUGAUGGGCAUACUAUUGUUCAUGAGUCGACGUAGCAACGCACGUAUCUGGCCGCUCUAUGUCAUUGUUCUGACAAUACUACUUCCUGUACAGUUCAUGUCGUGUGUUGGAUUCCCGUUCGGGCUCUGCAUCAAUUACCCCUGGCACCAGACCUCUCACCUGUCCUCUAACCUGGAGCAGUGGCUGUUCCUGCCUGACUAUGUCAAGCCCCCACAUGCCCUCAAACUUGUUGCGGACUUCUUUCAACUUCUGUUCGUGUGUCUUCAAUGGCGUGUGUUCAGCGUGGAGCGUGGGCCUAACAGCGAGGCUUAUGGAGGGGGAGACAACCAGUCUAUACUUCCGGAAGUGGAGGCCAACAUGGAAAUCCCUGUCCCUGACUUCACCACUUCGUCAAAAUCUUACCUGGAUGUUGUCAAGUAUGCUGUGUUUGAGUACUUGUUCUGGGUGACCUUGGCCAUCGUUUUCAUCACCGGUACGGCUCGUAUCAACCUGUUCAGUAUGGGAUACGUCAUUGGGGUAUUCUGCUUCAUGUGGUAUGGCCAGGACUUGCUCAUCAAACCCCUGAGGAAGCUGCUGAAAAUGUGGAAUUUCCUAGUUGGUUACACAUUCUUUGUGCUAUUCUGCAAAGCCUGCCUACAGCUGGUUGGGUGUGUGUACAUUGACCGCCUGUUUGUCAAUGAGUGCUGGCUGAUACAACUACUUGGCAUCAACUGCCUCUCCUCCACCAUCGACAUGCCUUCCUCGGGGACCUGCACAAUCGAGGAGGACAACACCGGCCUCACCUGGGACGUCAUCUGCUUCGUCUUCCUCCUGCUGCAGCGUCGCAUCUACAGCAGCCACUACUUCAGACACGUUGUGUCAGAGCUGGAGGCACAGAACAGGCUGGCGUCCAGAGGUGCAGAGCUCAUAAACAGAAUCAAUAUCCGAGAGGUGGCUCUCCAGAAUGCCCAGGAAGCUGAAAUCCUCCAGAACAUCAAGAAGAAGAUGAAGAACCUGCAGACCAAGCAGGCCAAGCUCAAGAAGAACUUCCGAGAACCACAGGACCACUUUGAUGAAAAUAAUUCCAAUAUUUCACAUGAUGAAGCUAUACGGUCAGGUGACUACUACCUUUUUGAUGACGACUCGGAGGAUGAGGCGCCAGAUCAGGCGGACACCCUCACCUUCGGACAGGACACAGAUGACACUGGCGCCAAGAUGGGACCAUUGCAGAUGAUCUCCACAGCCAUGGACUCAGGCACUGAUGCUGCUGUAGAGAAAGCCAAGGAAAUGGAGGAAUCCCAAGAGGGUGGAAGUGCGGCGACAAGCCCCAAAACAGGUCCUAAGGCUGGCCCUAGCAGUGGAGCAGAUGUCGACCCUGAGGAGAGCGAGGAGGGGGCUCCAGAAAAAGCAUUUGGAAAGGCCAAGCGUCUGACUAUGUUCAUCCUGGCAUUCCUGGGCAGCAUUGCUGAUUGGCUGAUCCGUUUGUUCAACAAGAUUUCCAAGAACUACCGCCGUGUUGCUAGGCAACUAGAGAAGGAGAUGAUUCUGGAGAGGGAGAAGAUCCAAGCGGAGAAGAAGGAGCUGAUAAUGAAGGAGAAACGACCCAGCAGCAGCAAGGACUCGGACGUGGAAGAUGGUGGCGGCGGGGCCGAUGCUGGCGCGACAAGUGACACAGACCUGGUUGUCGUCAGAGUGACCACAGCAGACUCUGGCCGACCAGACACUAUGGGAAGUUCUAUCAGCCUGGUGGACUGGGAGGAGAGAGAGAAGGAGGAGGAGGAAUUUGAGAAGAGUCAGCCACGUCUGUACCGCCUGCUGGUCGCCACAUACUACGUGCUGGUAGCCCGGUCGGAGCUGCUGUGUUACUUCCUGAUGAUCCUGAACCAGAUGAUCUACGCCUCGCUGCUGGCCCUGCCCCUCCCACUCAUGGUGUUCCUCUGGGGAAUGUUGUCUGUGCCACGCCCAUCCAAGUCCUUCUGGAUCACUGUUAUUACCUACGUUGAGGCUGUGGUGGUGGUGAAGUACCUGUUCCAGUUCAGCUUCUUCCCAUGGAAUGAUGGCACAGUUCGCGAGAGUCCAUUCUGGCCGCCACGUAUCCUGGGUAUCGAGAAACAGUCCAACUACGCUGCAGCAGACCUUGCCCUUCUCCUGGCCCUCUUCAUACACCGGUCACUUCUUAAGAGAUAUGGACUAUGGAGAGACACUGAUGACAUCUCCGCUGACUUGGCCAAGGCUGGAGAGAAGGAACUGUCUCCCCCCUGCUCACCAGCUCCAGAGGGUGACAACACUACCCAUGCCAUUGAGGCUGUGGAGCUGGGAGAGUCAGGAGCUGCAUCUGAUGGCCAGCUGCAGUCUUCAUCAGAAGACGAGAUCAAGAAGAAGCCCAGCAAGAUCAAAAUUGGGUUAAAGAAGUGUGUCGACCCAUUCAGGAACUUCUUCAAUCAGGUGACUGGAGCAACAUACAACGCCACUGUCGACGUCUACGCCCCCAUGUUCUGCUGCGACUUCAUCACAUUCAUCAUUGUCGUGUUCGGAUACUGGGCCUUUGGGCCUGCUCAAACAUCCAGUGGUGACGUGACAAGCUACAUAUCUGAAAACAGAGUGCCUGUUCCCUUCCUGGUGAUGUUGGUCUGCCAGUUUGCUCUCAUCAUCAUCGACCGUGCUCUGUUCCUGAGGAAGAACGUCCUGGGCAAGUUCAUUUUCCAGAUCAUCCUGGUGAUCCUUAUCCACAUCUGGAUGUUCUUCGUGCUACCGGCUGUCACUGAUAGGAGUUUCAACAAUAACAUCCCAGCUCUGCUGUGGUACUUUAUCAAGUGUAUCUACUUCGGGUUGUCUGCGUACCAGAUCCGAUGUGGCUACCCCACCAGAAUCCUUGGCAACUUCCUCACCAAGAAGUACAACUACCUCAACCUGUUCCUCUUCAAGGGUUUCCUGGCCAUUCCGUUCCUGCUGGAGCUGAGGGCCCUGAUGGACUGGAUCUGGACCGACACCACGCUGGCCAUCGGCUCCUGGCUGCAGAUGGAGGACAUCUACGCCAACAUCUUCGUCCUCAAGUGCUGGAGGAGAGCAGAGGCGACAUACCCGACCCCACGUGCCCAGAAGCGCAAGGCCCUCAUCAAGUAUGGGGUGGGCGGUCUGCUACUGCUGGUGAUCAUCUUCAUCAUCUGGUUCCCACUCGUACUCUUCUCCUUCGCUAACACUGUGUUCGAGCAGAACCCACCCUUCGAGUCCACCGUCACCAUCACACUUGGAGGAUACCAGCCCAUCUUCAAGAUGACCGCCCAACAACAGAACAUUGAACAGCUGACGCCCACCCAGUUUAACAUCCUGCAGAGUCGCUACAGCAAGGACAGGAAUGCCAUGGGCUUCCUGUCCAACUAUGAGGCCAUUGACGUGACCAAGGUGACACUGGCGGGCAAGUCAACAUCCUUGUGGGGUAUCAGCCCCCCCAGUCAGGCGGACCUCGUCACAUCUCUGCAGAACAAUAAGAACUUGAAGCUGGAGUUCUUCAUCAGCUUUGUCAGGGAGCCAACUGGAAGCCAGUCUGGCAGCAUCAGCAACGACUUCACCAUGUCCCUGGACGAUUCAGUCAGGAAGCAGCUAAUAGGUAUUAUCAACGGAACAUCCAAUUCUACAGUGGACAUAUUUAAUGUUUUCCCGAGAUUUAUGCGGCUUGCAUUGGAGGGACGACCAACAGGCAUCAAACCACUGCUAUAUGGUGAAUUUGGUGUCGGACUGAGCAACGUAUCGCUGGGUUUGUUCCGCGACUCUGAUGCCGGGGCGUUGUCCGAGUUCAUCCAAUGGUGGGAGCUUCAGGAGGUUAUUAAGGGGGAUGAAAUACUAGAAUACGAUCCCAAGAAAACUAAGAAAGUGAAUGAACUCACCAUUUUCACCUUCAAUGACAGAAAAGCACCAGCAGGGUUCUCAGUUAUCACUGGAUAUGGCAUCAUUGGUCUGUAUGUGUCGUUGGUGUUAGUCAUUGGCCGCUUUUUUAGAGUGACAUUUUUCACGGGGUCGUCGUACCGCAUCAUGUUCGAGGAGCUUCCGAAUGUGGACAAUGUCCUCCAUCUAUGUCUGGACAUUUACAUGGUGAGGGAGAGUCGCGACUAUCUCCUCGAGGAGGAUCUCUUCUCCAAGCUUCUCUUCUUGUACCGCUCCCCAGAGACGCUCAUUAAGUGGACGAAGCGGAAGAAGAUCAAGGAGGAUUAAGGGCUGUGUAAUAAAUGUGUGUUGUCUCUACACUUGUUGAAUAGUCCAAUGAAAGAUUUCCAAACGUUAACUAGUUUUCAAGAUACAUUUGUUUUUAUAGAUGAAAUUUGAAGUUGUGUUUUAAAGUUGUUAAAAAUAAUGUGGAAUUUAUAGGGAUUCAGUCCUUGAAAAUAUAAGGGAUGAAGUAAUAUGAGGUAGCCUCAAAGUUAAUGUUUACUGCUUACACAAAACCAGAAAAGAAUGGUUCCCUGUUUACAUAAUCUUGAUUAUGAAGGUAAAUACUUGACAAUUAUUAUGAAUAUGAUAUAAGUUAUUUGAUUGUUAAUUGUGAACAGUCGCUAAAAUGAUUAUACAUAAUCCUGAUUAUGAAGGUAAAUACUUGACACUUAUUAUGAAUAUGAUAUAAGUUAUUUGAUUGUUAAUUGUGAACAGUCGCUAAAAUGAUUAUACAAGAAUGAUUUCUAAGUAGUUGGUGACAUUUGUGUAGGGAUGCACAUGAUCUCAAAAUGGUGCUUGAGUGUAUUCUGUUGCCGCAGGUCAUGGAGAAGUGUAAACUAAUGUUUAUGGAGCCUUGACUGGAACACAAGUAAAAGGUUACAAGUCAGUUCGUUUAUAUAAACACUGACACAAGAUGUAUAAAACAUUUUAAAAUAUUGUACAUUUUGAGACAAAAAUGAUGCAAUUACUGACCUUGGUAAAGUUAACAAGCUGUCUGUUCCAAUCUCAUUACAAUCUGAUCUUUCUCUUUGAUACAUUAUCUCUCUGCAUGAAGAUCUGAGGACACCUACAAAAGAGUUUGAGUCAGGUGAACCCUGAGUGGACUUUGUCAAUUUAAAUAAGGAUGCAUGGCUUCUUGAUCCAGGUUUACCACCUCAAUUCCGAAAUUUUGUUCUAAGCAAAAGAAACAGUACACAAAUAUACCCUUUCUACUACUAUCUUUCAGGUGUAGAUGAUCAGAAAUGACAGUAUCCACAACACUAUGCCAGGACAGCUUUAUUUUUUUGCAUUUGGAACUCCAUGAUUGUAGUCAUUUUCAGGUUACAGAAAUGAGAUAUGCUUGUCUAAUUUGUUGCUGACUGAUACCGAGAAUUUAGAAGCGGUGAUGCUGAUUGGGUGAUUAGAAAGUUCACCUGAUUAGACAUCCUAAGGAGGUGUCGUCAUAUCUUCCUGCAGACAUGUAUCAUAUUGGAGUAAAAGAUCUGGUUUAAUGAGAUUAUAAACUGAGGGUAGUGAUGUUGUAUGCAUGCAUUUAUCACACAGUUUCAGCGGUAUAUAUCAUUCUCAUUUCAUUAUUCUAGUCACAUAAUCAUCAUCAUCGUCUUUUGCAUCCUGCACAUAUUGUGGAGUUUUUGUCAGUGCUGAAACUGUUAUACAAUGUGAUUAUCGUCUACACUUCUCUCAGGGCUCAACUAUAUUACCCAUAUUUUCACAGAGGGGAGACAACUAUGUAUGUCUUAAAUAUCUUUGCUUCCUUUUAAAACUUUGUCAGAGACCAUAUACCGGUAUAUGGUCUCUGUGUUUGUUUAUUAAAAUUGUCGAUUAGAGUUCAGAUGUCUUAAUUUGGCUAAAUAAAUCCUCAAUACUUUAUCUUGCUAUGCACAAAUAGUGAAUGUGACGUGUUAAUAUGUCGUAUGUUAUUUUCCAUAUUUUUUAUUGGGAGGUAACUGAACUAAUGUUGAUGUGGAACUUCUGUAUAUACAAUGAAUUAAAAAUUCUGUUGUAUGUAUCAGUAAUUAGGGCUGUUUGAUGUUAGAAAUGUGUUUCCAUGGUGACGUGUACUAUACAUUGAGUUGAAAACAGUAUUUCGUGGCAAUUUAUAUUCUGUGUUGAGUUGCGUAUCGUUACAUUGUGUUACCUAUAUAAAUGUGUACCCCUGUGUUACAAGGAUUUAUUAAUGCUAGUGCUAAAUAUUUAUUCCACCCCAAGUGCUUCAUAUAAUAUAAACAUAAACACAAAGUGCAAAACUGACUUGUUCAACACAGGGUGAACACAGGAUAUAAUAUCCACCUGACGAUAUCUUGAAUAUCUAUCCCUGUGAAUGAAUGCAGUAGCGAUACAACAGUAAGCAAUAUAGAACCCCUUGAUUAUUUCAUACCUUUACCAAUGCACAGGGAAACAAUACCAGCUGUCUACUUUAAUAUAUACAAUAUACAGCAAACUAGACAUAAUGUAGUACUCACGACACCUAAGCAUUUUGUAACAUCAGGUAAGUUAUCCAUCAUAUCAUAUUAUAUUAAUUAUUAUCACCUCAGGGUAUUGAGAUCAAUGUUUACAUGCUUUGUUUUGAAAAUAAAUAGUAAUUAUGAAAGCUAAUGUGAGUGCUUAUCACAUGCUGUUCUGAAUAAAUACCCAGAAUGCAUCUGAUUAUGAAAGCUUGUUAGGUUGGUGAAUCGGUGUAAAGGAUUUUGUCACUUGUAGUUGUAUAAAUAUUUAAAAUCACCUUUGUAGAGAAGCAUGAUGCAAAUGGCUUAGGUUGUGAUAGCAAUGCUGCUGUUUUGUAAUAUUGGGGACAAAUGCCUUAUUUUCUAAACUAAGUGCUUUACUAUCUUUUACUUAUAUUGCGUGGUAGAAGGGUUAAUCAGACAGAGGCCACUGUUGAAUGUCAUGUUAAUAGUUCAUGUAUUGUCUUUAAUUCUAAACAUGAUCAAAACCAUAGUGUUGUAACAUAUAAUUUAGGGCAAAAUGAUCAAAAUUAUUUCUUUGAUUUAUAAAAGUAUUUAUUCUUCCAGGAAUGUGUAGGCUAGGGCCAGUAUGUGCAUAGCUUGUUUUGUAAAAAAUUUGGGCAUAUUUUAACCAUUGAGUGCUUCCACACUGCCCGCCACGAUGAUGUUGUGAACAGUACGUGUAGGUAGAUUGUUAAUGUUGACAGUUUCUAUAAUGAAAUCCUGAAUUAUGAGAAUAUUCUUAAGAUUUGCUGGUUCUUGAUGAAUACAUGCCUAUGUAUAAUGUUAAUUAUGGUCCUUUCACUACUGGUGCCAUGUUGCAAUACACGUGUCAUGUCCAUGAUUUCUAUGCCCUUGCUCAAACCAUGCUGAUAGAUAGGCAUUAGUCUGACGAAUGUGUGUCCGCUUUGAUUGUAAUGUCCCUUUGUGAAGCAGGCAGCUGUAGAGGUGGUACAAGGGGAUUGUAGAAAUAAAGUGUUUGUAGCAAAUGUC